UGGGGAAUAUUGCACAAUGGGCGAAAGCCUGAUGCAGCAACGCCGCGUGAGUGAUGAAGGCCUUCGGGUUGUAAAGCUCUGUCUUUUGGGACGAUAAUGACGGUACCAAAGGAGGAAGCCACGGCUAACUACGUGCCAGCAGCCGCGGUAAUACGUAGGUGGCAAGCGUUGUCCGGAUUUACUGGGCGUAAAGGAUGCGUAGGCGGAUUUUUAAGUGAGAUGUGAAAUACCCGGGCUUAACUUGGGUGCUGCAUUUCAAACUGGGAGUCUAGAGUGCGGGAGAGGAGAAUGGAAUUCCUAGUGUAGCGGUGAAAUGCGUAGAGAUUAGGAAGAACACCAGUGGCGAAGGCGAUUCUCUGGACCGUAACUGACGCUGAGGCAUGAAAGCGUGGGUAGCAAACAGGAUUAGAUACCCUGGUAGUCCACGCCGUAAACGAUGAGUACUAGGUGUAGGAGGUAUCGACCCCUUCUGUGCCGCAGUUAACACAAUAAGUACUCCGCCUGGGAAGUACGAUCGCAAGAUUAAAACUCAAAUGAAUUGAC
RNAcentral lists this ribosomal RNA (543 nucleotides) under uncultured bacterium. RNAcentral's name for it is "partial 16S ribosomal RNA". It matches the Rfam family "Bacterial small subunit ribosomal RNA", at positions 355 to 914 of the family's 1533-position model. The record is from RNAcentral.